This 253-nucleotide ribosomal RNA is filed under the name uncultured bacterium. RNAcentral describes it as "partial 16S ribosomal RNA". It matches the Rfam family "Bacterial small subunit ribosomal RNA", at positions 524 to 776 of the family's 1533-position model. The record is from RNAcentral.
UACGUAGGGUGCGAGCGUUGUCCGGAAUUACUGGGCGUAAAGAGCUCGUAGGUGGUUUGUCGCGUUGUUCGUGAAAACCGGGGGCUUAACCCUCGGCGUGCGGGCGAUACGGGCAGACUUGAGUACUGCAGGGGAGACUGGAAUUCCUGGUGUAGCGGUGGAAUGCGCAGAUAUCAGGAGGAACACCGGUGGCGAAGGCGGCCUGCUGGGCAGUGGCUGACACUGAGGCGCGACAGCGUGGGGAGCAAACAGG